RNAcentral lists this ribosomal RNA (253 nucleotides) under uncultured bacterium. RNAcentral's name for it is "partial 16S ribosomal RNA". It matches the Rfam family "Bacterial small subunit ribosomal RNA", at positions 524 to 776 of the family's 1533-position model. The record is from RNAcentral.
UACGUAGGCAGCGAGCGUUGUUCGGAGUUACUGGGCGUAAAGGGUGUGUAGGCGGUUCUUUAAGUUUGGUGUGAAAUCUCCCGGCUCAACCGGGAGGGUGCGCCGAAUACUGAGGGACUAGAGUACGGGAGAGGAAAGUGGAAUUCCUGGUGUAGCGGUGAAAUGCGUAGAUAUCAGGAGGAACACCGGUGGUGUAGACGGCUUUCUGGACCGUAACUGACGCUGAGACACGAAAGCGUGGGGAGCAAACGGG